Molecule: long non-coding RNA, 1175 nt
Filed under: Neogobius melanostomus (round goby)
Lineage: Eukaryota; Metazoa; Chordata; Actinopteri; Gobiiformes; Gobiidae
Description: lncRNA (ENSNMLG00000002947.1)
Source: RNAcentral
GUUGGUUUGUGUUGUAGGUUUAAGGCCUGGUAUAGAGCUACGCGGUGUGUUUUCACUUUAAAAGCCGUAAAAGGUCCGUAGUAGUAUCUCCCAGAGACGCGGACGCGCGUCUUAAAAUCAAGCGGUCGAAAAUAAGAUCGUAAGCAGAGUUGGGGGCUGUUUGAAAUACUUCGGUUGGAGGCCAAAGGAUAAAUAAGAUCCUUAAAUUCUAUUAAUUGGUGAAAUAUAUAAUUUGGUGAAUUAAUGUUCGGUUUUUUGUAACUAUAAAAGUAUACGAGGUAAGUUGUAGUCGCGGUAAGUAUAAUUUGGGUGCAGGGAACAGAUAAAAGAAGGUAAGAAAAUGUUGGAAUUACUUGAUUGCGAAGGAUGGGUGAAAAUGGUAAGUGAAGCGUCACCUCUUUUGAAAAAGAUGGCGGGAAAAGCCCUGAACAAAGCAGUCGAGGCCUGUGCACAAGGAUUCAGAGAACAAAAGAGAGACCCAAAGGCUCCACAAACACUGGAGUUCUUUUGCGGGGUGUUGACUGCAACUGUGGAGGCCUGCACGAUGGAACUGCGGGAGGAGGAAAAGUUAAAGAAGAACAGCGGACUUUCGAAAAGUGAGAAGAAAUUGCUGGAACUCACAAUCAGUAAGUAUUACAAGCUGGGAAAACGAAUCGAACCUAUCCUGGAGCUGGCAACAGCGCACUGGAUGAAAUACGAAAAGAUUUUUUCCCCCACUUCGGGGGGCGGGACCCGAAAGCCCCUCCCAAGAGGAGGAGCUCCCGCCUUGGCCCCGACGGCCCCUCCUCCAUACGAGAAGGGAAGAGAGUCAAGCUCCACCCUAUACCCGCAGCUAACUGUCCAUGGAGUGAUGGAUGUUGAUGUGGCAGCCUCAAACUCGUUAUCAGUGGAGGAGCAUGAUAAGGUAAGGACUUUAAUAACCCGCUCUUACACUGAUAACAAACCUGCACCAAGGGAUGCAAGUGGACAAUUGUGGGGGAUUAAAGUGAUCGAACAAACGGGAAAAUACGCUCAAGACACAAUGGAAGCCAUUCAUGCGCUGAGGAGAAACUCACAGGCGCAGACGCAGCAGGCAACAGAAGAAUACCAAAAGGCCCAACAAGAACUACUGGAUAAAUUUGAUGCAGAAAAAGAAGAAAGAAAGGCCGAGGUUCACGAACUAACCGAAAGAAUAC